CAGAGUCAAGGUGGCCAAGGUACCAGCUUGGUCAACCCUGAAAGACCAUCCCUUCAGCAAGAAAUGACCAGGUCUUUUCCUGGUAUUUUCUCAAGAGGAAAGGGAAAAAGGCGAUUCCCUGCUACAUCUCUGGUGCCUGCUAAGAAGCCUAAACCUCUUGAAGUGGUAUUUUAUUUGCUCCCAAAACAAAUGGAGAAGACCCCAACAGAACAUGAAAAAUAUAUCCACACACAGGCAGGGAUGGGUCAAAGAACAGCACAUCUUGAUGAGAGCACAACACAUGAAGAGUUAAGGGACGCCCUGAAUGAUUUGUUUCCCAAACUGAAGGAGGUAACAGGUGGCUGGCUGCUGUUCAAACCUG
Molecule: long non-coding RNA, 361 nt
Organism: Pundamilia nyererei
Lineage: Eukaryota; Metazoa; Chordata; Actinopteri; Cichliformes; Cichlidae
Exons: 3
Source: RefSeq, a predicted model, not a curated record